GACGACCGGCGCACGGGUGCGCAACGCGUAUACAACCUGCCCCCCGCUGGGGAAUAGCCCAGAGAAAUUUGGAUUAACGCCCCAUGGCAACUCCGCACGGCAUCGUGCGGCGUUCAAAGGACACGGCGGGGGAUGGGUAUGCGUCCCAUUAGCUAGUUGGUGCGGUAACGGCGCACCAAGGCCACGAUGGGUAGGGGUCCUGAGAGGGAGAUCCCCCACACUGGUACUGAGACACGGACCAGACUCCUACGGGAGGCAGCAGUGAGGAAUAUUGGACAAUGGGCGGAAGCCUGAUCCAGCCAUGCCGCGUGCAGGAAGACGGUCCUAUGGAUUGUAAACUGCUUUUGUACGGGAAGAACAAGGGCCACGCGUGGCCCUCUGACGGUACCGUAAGAAUAAGGAUCGGCUAACUCCGUGCCAGCAGCCGCGGUAAUACGGAGGAUCCGAGCGUUAUCCGGAAUCAUUGGGUUUAAAGGGUCCGUAGGCGGGCCGUUAAGUCAGGGGUGAAAGUCUGCAGCUCAACUGUAGAACUGCCCUUGAUACUGACGGCCUUGAGUUGCGGUGAAGUGGCCGGAAUAUGUAGUGUAGCGGUGAAAUGC
Molecule: ribosomal RNA, 599 nt
Filed under: Vreelandella aquamarina
Lineage: Bacteria; Pseudomonadati; Pseudomonadota; Gammaproteobacteria; Oceanospirillales; Halomonadaceae
Description: bacterial SSU rRNA
Rfam family: Bacterial small subunit ribosomal RNA
Source: RNAcentral